UACGUAGGGUGCGAGCGUUGUCCGGAAUUAUUGGGCGUAAAGGGCUCGUAGGCGGUCUGUCGCGUCGGGAGUGAAAACUCAGGGCUUAACCCUGAGCCUGCUUCCGAUACGGGCAGACUAGAGGUAUGCAGGGGAGAACGGAAUUCCUGGUGUAGCGGUGGAAUGCGCAGAUAUCAGGAGGAACACCGAUGGCGAAGGCAGUUCUCUGGGCCGUAACUGACGCUGAGGAGCGAAAGCGUGGGGAGCGAACAGG
RNAcentral lists this ribosomal RNA (253 nucleotides) under uncultured bacterium. RNAcentral's name for it is "partial 16S ribosomal RNA". It matches the Rfam family "Bacterial small subunit ribosomal RNA", at positions 524 to 776 of the family's 1533-position model. The record is from RNAcentral.